Molecule: ribosomal RNA, 253 nt
Filed under: uncultured bacterium
Lineage: Bacteria
Description: partial 16S ribosomal RNA
Rfam family: Bacterial small subunit ribosomal RNA
Source: RNAcentral
UACAGAGGGUGCGAGCGUUAAUCGGAAUUACUGGGCGUAAAGCGUGCGUAGACGGUUAUUUAAGUCGGAUGUGAAAGCCCCGGGCUCAACCUGGGAAUUGCAUUCGAGACUGAAUAGCUAGGGUACGGUAGAGGGAAGCGGAAUUUCCGGUGUAGCGGUGAAAUGCGUAGAUAUCGGAAGGAACAUCAGUGGCGAAAGCGGCUUCCUGGACCAACACUGACACUGAGGAGCGAAAGCCAGGGGAGCAAACGGG